GUAUGCCACCUCUCCGAUUCGCUGCUCUACCUCGAACGGUCCAUAAAACCUUGGAUUGAGUUUGAGGUUCUGCCGAGUAGUGAGGGACGAUUGCCGAUACGGUUGGAGCUUCAAAAAUACCCAAUCUCCCACUUGGACCCACAGCUGCUCACGGUCACGCAAGGUCCUUCAAUCUAGUGCCUUCGGCCAUUGGAGUUUCAGGAUAGCAGGAUCUGGGCUCUUGGAUACCACUUGUAAUAAACUAAUAGUAGUAGUGAAUAUAAUGGAAUGUAUAAGGGACUGUAAUAUUGAUAAAAAGCCUCACGGCAGUAGCAACACUUUCUUCGAGGGAAAGGACCUCCACAGUAGCGAUGAAUAGUAGAA
Molecule: long non-coding RNA, 363 nt
Organism: Carya illinoinensis
Lineage: Eukaryota; Viridiplantae; Streptophyta; Magnoliopsida; Fagales; Juglandaceae
Exons: 3
Source: RefSeq, a predicted model, not a curated record